GGUCGGGUCCCAUGCAAGCAUCGGGCGUGAACCUGGUCAGGCGGGGAACCGAGCAGCCAUAAGCGAUUCUGAUGUUGUGCUGUGGUAAACCCGACCACC
RNAcentral lists this signal recognition particle RNA (99 nucleotides) under Phycisphaerae bacterium. RNAcentral's name for it is "signal recognition particle sRNA small type". It matches the Rfam family "Bacterial small signal recognition particle RNA". From Rfam's summary of the family: The signal recognition particle (SRP) is a universally conserved ribonucleoprotein involved in the co-translational targeting of proteins to membranes. Archaeal SRP consists of a 7S RNA and homologues of the eukaryotic SRP19 and SRP54 proteins. The record is from RNAcentral. Lineage: Bacteria; Pseudomonadati; Planctomycetota; Phycisphaerae. RNAcentral also lists the same sequence under 1 other name.